CUAACUCCUCAAUUUGUGUGUAGUUGGAAUGUUUGCCUACGUUUGCCGCUAGGGGCACUGUUCCAACUGUAUACAAAUUUGAGUUA
RNAcentral lists this microRNA precursor (86 nucleotides) under Bombyx mori (domestic silkworm). RNAcentral describes it as "mir-2807 microRNA precursor family". It matches the Rfam family "mir-2807 microRNA precursor family". The record is from Rfam by way of RNAcentral. Lineage: Eukaryota; Metazoa; Arthropoda; Insecta; Lepidoptera; Bombycidae.